RNAcentral lists this transfer RNA (65 nucleotides) under Halesus radiatus. RNAcentral's name for it is "tRNA-Leu". The record is from RNAcentral. Lineage: Eukaryota; Metazoa; Arthropoda; Insecta; Trichoptera; Limnephilidae.
UCUAAUGUGGCAGAAUAAUGCAUUGAAUUUAAGCUUCAAUUAUAAAGUUCCCUCUUUCUUUAGAA